RNAcentral lists this ribosomal RNA (673 nucleotides) under uncultured bacterium. RNAcentral's name for it is "bacterial SSU rRNA". It matches the Rfam family "Bacterial small subunit ribosomal RNA", at positions 55 to 738 of the family's 1533-position model. The record is from RNAcentral.
ACGGAGAUUACAGGCGGAAGUUUUCGGAUGGAAGCUUGUAAACUUAGUGGCGGACGGGUGAGUAACACGUGAGCAACCUGCCUAUCAGAGGGGGAUAACGAUUGGAAACGAUCGCUAAUACCGCAUGACAUAGCGGAAUCGCAUGGUUCUGUUAUCAAAGAUUUUAUCGCUGAUAGAUGGGCUCGCGUCCGAUUAGAUAGUUGGUGGGGUAACGGCCUACCAAGUCGACGAUCGGUAGCCGGACUGAGAGGUCGAACGGCCACAUUGGGACUGAGACACGGCCCAGACUCCUACGGGAGGCAGCAGUGGGGGAUAUUACACAAUGGGGGAAACCCUGAUGCAGCGACGCCGCGUGAGGGAAGACGGUCCUCUGGAUUGUAAACCUCUGUCUUCGGGGACGAAACGAGACGGUACCCGAGGAGGAAGCCACGGCUAACUACGUGCCAGCAGCCGCGGUAAUACGUAGGUGGCAAGCGUUGUCCGGAAUUACUGGGUGUAAAGGGAGCGUAGGCGGGCAGGCAAGUCAGGCGUGAAAUAUAUCGGCUCAACCGGUAACGGCGCUUGAAACUGCAGGUCUUGAGUGAAGUAGAGGUUGGCGGAAUUCCUAGUGUAGCGGUGAAAUGCGUAGAUAUUAGGAGGAACACCAGUGGCGAAGGCGGCCAACUGGGCUUUU